AGUUUUACGACCAUUAAAAAAAAAUUGAAUUACAUCGACAAGAGGUCGACCCGGAACAAAAUGUGAUGUCAUGGUUUGGAAAAGGCCUCUGGGGUGAGACGCCCAGUUCUUAAUAGCAAUGAAGAUCAGUUCACGAGUACCGCACGAAAUGUCACGGUGGCAACUGCACGAGGUGCGCGGCGUGAGAUUAAGACGAAUGCCAUGGGUCCUCCGAUGAGAGCCCUCCUUAUUAAUCACCGUCACGGAGUUAGAAGCAAUUUUAAGCCACCUUCAUCGACUCCGAGCACGGGGGCUGUGGCGGCCACUAGCCCGCCCUCCCCCGUCACUGCCGAGGGCUUCCGUGUGCGACGACCCACUUCAUUAAACUCUCCAAAAGAUACACGGAAAGCCGCGUGAAACUUGCUUUUAAUAUCAGCUCAAUCGCCACCCCCUGCCGCCCACCACUUUGUACGCCACUGGUCGGGGCGCUCGUAUGUCGCAGAAUAUUCAAGGUUCGACCAGAAUAAGCAUCCAUCGGCCUUUGCAUCCUGCAACUGCGUAUUCGAACAGCAGGAAGAACUAAUGAGACGCUGAUGGGUGGCUUAUUAACGACUUGGACAUUUUGGCAAUGAUCAGCUUAUAAAUGGCUCCCGUCAAGGCGCUCCUAAACCUCCAAAUGAGUCUUUUCACUUCAGCGCUCCCGUCGCACAAUAACAAACGAGGGCCAUUAGCCGUAUUGUUAGCCGCGACGCCCCGAGUACAAACAAAAGAUCGUAAAUAACAAUCUGCAAGGGGAAGCCUUUCAAGAGGACCGAUAUCGGUCAGGCCUGCCAUAGAUGACGUCGGAGGGCUUAGGGGGCAAGGGGGGUGACGGGAAGGGUCUGCCAAAACAAAGGCACGGCUGAGAGGAAGAAAACAUGGCAUGGCUGACAAAGGUGACGCUGGAAAUGGUGUUUCUAGAAACCUUUGUUAUUAUUUGUGUCUUUCCUUCUUCUAUUUUGGUAUGUUUUGGGACUAUUGGUCACCAUCUAAUAUUUCAAUAUCUAUUUGGAGCGAGGGACGCUUGCUUCUACACAAUACAACCAAACAAGAUCCACCGUGACCCGGGAAAAGUUUAUCCACUUAUGUGACGUUUCAAUAACAUAAUCCAAAAAGUGUGACGGCUUUUUAACGGGAUUACGUGGCCUGAACGGAGCGGAGACUUGUGGCCAUAAAGGAAGUAAGUCCAUACAACCAUGUCAUAGGAAAUGGAACUUAACGCUUUUUUUGGGCUAUUUCCAAAUAUUUUUUUGGGGGGGGAGAGUGUAUUAUUUUUUAAAUAUUAUUAUUGUUAUUAUUUGUGGAUUUUUCUGUGAAUAUUUCUAAUUGGGGAUUCCUUUCUAAUAUUUGUGUACCAUUUGCUCACAUUUAGUGAUUUAUUUUGUAUUUUUUUACUUUAUAUUUUGUGUUAUUUUGUCUAACAUUACAAAUGAAAAUCUUUUUUGGUGUACUAUUUUUGUGCUGUCUUUUAUUUUUUAAAUUUUGGAUUUUUAACACGUUUUGAAUUGUGCAUUUUGCUGUCGGCAUUAAGCCAAUAGCAGGUAGCUCACCCCCUAGCAUGAGAACAAGCUCAUUCAUUCCAAUAAUUGAUGCUGACAGCCCAUCAGGAGAAUAAUGUAUGGCAAUAAUGAAAGAUUGUUUAUGUAUCGCAGCAUGAGAAGGUAGGGCGGCUUGUUUUUUGUUUUUUUUUUUGUCCGUUUUGUUUUUGUUUUUCAGGAGGGCGGCGAUGCUGACGGAUGGACAGAAGUGACAGUGCGGUAUUUAUCCUGCGCGCUCCGCCGCUGGUGUUUGGACAUGGCAAUAAAUCAAGCGCUCUUCCGCCGCCCUAUCUACAGCUUAUUACUGCCGGCGUGACAAAUAAAUAAUAAUCCCUGUCAGCCGGGCCACUUUCCACUACACGAUCAAAAGGCCGACUGAACUCGUCACUCCUGCUUGUUGCUUGCAAGCAUUGCCGCAGAAGCAAGCGGGAGUAUAUUCGGCUUUUUCCCUUUAUGGAUAUGAGACAAAAGGGAGGCUGCGGCAGUGGUGGGCGAGAGCGCGGCCUAAUGGCGCUGAUUAAUGACAACGGGCCAGAGGAGAGCCGGGACACGGGCGCAACAUCGAUCAUCCUUUCUCAUCAGUCGGUGCACCUCUGUGGGCCUCUUCUUCCCCAAGAAGAAAAAUGCACCAGCUGAAAUAAAUACAAUACUAAGCUU
This is a long non-coding RNA of Hippocampus zosterae (dwarf seahorse), 2213 nucleotides long. RefSeq lists it as uncharacterized. The record is from RefSeq and is a predicted model, not a curated record. The transcript is spliced from 2 exons. Lineage: Eukaryota; Metazoa; Chordata; Actinopteri; Syngnathiformes; Syngnathidae.